This 254-nucleotide ribosomal RNA is filed under the name uncultured bacterium. RNAcentral's name for it is "partial 16S ribosomal RNA". It matches the Rfam family "Bacterial small subunit ribosomal RNA", at positions 524 to 776 of the family's 1533-position model. The record is from RNAcentral.
UACGGGGGGAGCAAGCGUUGUUCGGAUUUACUGGGCGUAAAGGGCGCGUAGGCGGUUAGCACAAGUCAGUUGUGAAAUCUCCGGGCUUAACUCGGAAAGGUCAACUGAUACUGUGCGACUAGAGUGCGGAAGGGGCAACUGGAAUUCUCGGUGUAGCGGUGAAAUGCGUAGAUAUCGAGAGGAACACCUGCGGCGAAGGCGGGUUGCUGGGCUGACACUGACGCUGAGGCGCGAAAGCCAGGGGAGCGAACGGG